CGCGUCGCCCCCGACCACKCCUCCCUCAUGGGAAUGGCUUGUGUCGGGGGCGGAGACUGGUCUCCCGUGCCCCAUGGUGUGGUUGGCCUAAAAAGGAGUCCCCUUUGACGGACGCACGGCUAGUGGUGGUUGUCAAGGCCUUCGUAACGAGUCGUGUGGAUGCAAAGGGAUCGCUCUAAAAAGACCCCAACGUGCUGUC
RNAcentral lists this unclassified non-coding RNA (199 nucleotides) under Jurinea moschus. Its description in RNAcentral is "ITS2". The record is from RNAcentral. Lineage: Eukaryota; Viridiplantae; Streptophyta; Magnoliopsida; Asterales; Asteraceae.